GGGCGAUUAGUUUAACGAAAACACUUGAUUUCGGCUCAGGCACUCGUGGUUAAAGUCCACGAUCACCCU
RNAcentral lists this transfer RNA (69 nucleotides) under Pervagor janthinosoma (blackbar filefish). RNAcentral describes it as "tRNA-Arg". It matches the Rfam family "tRNA". Rfam says of the family: Transfer RNA (tRNA) molecules are approximately 80 nucleotides in length. Lineage: Eukaryota; Metazoa; Chordata; Actinopteri; Tetraodontiformes; Monacanthidae. The record is from RNAcentral.